CGGAUUGCAGGCUGCAACUCGCCUGCAUGAAGUCGGAAUUGCUAGUAAUCGCGGAUCAGCAUGCCGCGGUGAAUACGUUCCCGGGCCUUGUACACACCGCCCGUCACACCAUGAGAGCCGGUAACACCCGAAGUCAGUAGUCUAACCGCAAGGGGGACGCUGCCGAAGGUGGGGCUGGUGAUUGGGGUGAAGUCGUAACAAGGUAUC
Molecule: ribosomal RNA, 207 nt
Filed under: uncultured bacterium
Lineage: Bacteria
Description: partial 16S ribosomal RNA
Rfam family: Bacterial small subunit ribosomal RNA
Source: RNAcentral